CACGCGCUCGGCACCUUUUACCGAAUACAGUCCCAGCCUUGUUAUGCGGCGCAUAUUAUGUGGCAUACAUGAUGGCGACCUACUCCGCACCGUCCGGGUGUGGGGUGCUUUGCCGCAACGCGAGAACUCAACCUGGCGACCAGGAAAACAUUGUAGCAUGAAUCUGGAACCAGGUCUUAAAAACGCAAAUAAUGACGAUCUCUAAUCGACUUCGGACUCUCUCACCACCUAACGAGGCCCUUGGCCAGCGCCGCAGCCGCCGCUACCUCCGGACGUCCUAGCUGCUAAAGGGAUGCCUACACCAACGGUUAGAAGGUCCCCCGUGGCGCCGGGCGUCUAGGGACAGUUCUAUUCCCCUCGCUCUAACCCUCUUCUCUGCCCCUACACGAUGCCCUAAGUAGACACUGGCGCGUGUUGUUGCCGCGCCUCGGGCUGCUGCUGCCCUCGUUCCCUAUACCAGGUUGCCUCAGACCCUCAGCUGGCAGUUGGCCCUAUACGCCAGCGGGCCGACUUAAUUCUCUUAACCUAGCUACACCUGGACGCCAACGCACAAGAAAAUUGACGGUGUGUCUCCUCUAAUGACCUAUUUCAAACAACCUUGUUUUUUUACACUCUGUUAGUUUUCACAAACCCAGGUUUAAACACAGACUUAGAUACCCACGCAAUAGAAAGUACGGCUUUCUUACGGCGGGUCCAUCCUAACCUCGGGAGCUUUUUAGUUAUUCCCCGAAACGCCUCGCUCUGCUUCUACUCCAAUAAUUCGAUCUCAAUCCGUGGUGUCGAAGCUUACCCAAAAGUACCUUAAACAGUCCUACUACCCUCCACACCGUGGCUUUCUGGUAUAGCUUUCUAGUCACGUCUCGAUACCUCCAACUUUAUUCUUCGUGUGAUGGCCUAUGUCACGUAGCUACCACAUUCACCGUGCAGAACUUCUUCAGAUUUCUUUCAAACCCCCGACACAUGCCCUUCUCUUUACUUAAAUCCGUUCUCCAAGUAUCUCACCAAUUGGUGUACGAUUAUCACCUGCUCAAACUCUUUCGCACCCGAGUGGAUGAUCUCUUCAUCAUGUUGGACUCCUGUGUGUGUAUGUACUGCGUUGAGAAACUCUGUUCCCUCUUCACCCGAUUCGGUACAAACUUCCCACAAAAGACACGUUUCUACUUGUCUGGGUUUCCUCACUUUCACACUUGGUAUACGAAUACUUGAACACGGUGGGCCGAGAGGCUACAUAUGUGAAAACUCCGUCAUGUACUCCAACGUCAAACUCGCGGUUAGCUUACUCUGAAUACUUCACUUCUCUUGAUUUUAGCGUGCACAUCAGGAUCCCUGUUUAAGGAGCUAACUCUAUGUUCGGUUGUUCCUUACGUGGGCACGUUGCAAGUUCGUCAAACUUUAGGAUAUGCUAACCGCUUGGUAUUCCUUUUUACCUCGUCCCUGCAUAAGGAUCACUUUUACUAACUGCUGCCUCGUACAAAACUCUCUCUUAUACAGGAGAAACUUGUAUACCCCUACGAGACAGCAGUACAAGACUUCCAGUACCUAUUAUAACCCUACUUUCUUUUAUGUUUCUCUGUGUAUCACUUUUCCGCCUGUUUUAUAGGUUCUCUAUAAAACGGUCUAGUGAACUUCGUGAUGGCCGACCUGGUCUAGUUGUUGUGUAGGGAUUGAAAAGCCGUGUUGGCCUACAUGUAAUCCCGCAACCUUGACCAAGCUGAACCUCUGCGUUCACAACUCCGUAUAGUUUGAGACUACCCCGAAAAUCUGGUCCGGUACGGCCACUACCUGGGAAAACUGUUUACAGCACUGUCCGAUCCCGAACCUUCUGGCACCUAUUGUUGUUACACCGUCUAUGGCUGCCCCUCACUCGACCCUCUUCACACACUUCUGCUGUCUUACAGUACGUCGUACUUCAAAACCUAAUCACCGUGGUUCGUUCUUGCCUUUGCGACCGUCUAGUCGUUACGGACUCUGUUCCGCAGUAUACUGCCCUACUGGUUCUCUUCAUCCAAAACGUCGUAAACGUUUAGGGUCACGGUGUUUUCUUGUUGAAGUGGCCUCUCUCCCCUAUAAGGCGUUGGCUCCUUCUUUAGGUUUACGUCAUUUACGUCACCACUUCCCGUAUCCUUCUUAUGAAUGCUUGCCGUUCGUUCCCUCUACUUCACUCAACUUUCGACCAUCACAGUUCACACGAUUAAUUCAAAAAUCAAACUUUUGGCUGCACACCGACACAAAGUCGAACACCAAUACCACAAAAAAAAAAGAAAGAUUAACACGAUAUCCUUUGACUGUACAGUUUGACGAGGAAGAACAACCGACCACGACACAGACUUCGUACCUACCAACCACAUCGAACAUCGGAUACUUAAGUUUCCAACUUACUAGUUUCGACAACCUGACCACUUCAGGGGUCGCGUUAUUUAAAGAGAUAAGACCGAAGGU
RNAcentral lists this ribosomal RNA (2439 nucleotides) under Triticum aestivum (bread wheat). RNAcentral describes it as "partial small subunit ribosomal RNA". The record is from RNAcentral. Lineage: Eukaryota; Viridiplantae; Streptophyta; Magnoliopsida; Poales; Poaceae.